UGUGGAGGCUUGUCGACAGCUCUGGAGAGUGUCGGGACAAGUCCGAGUCGCGUUGGCGUCAAAUAGACGCAAAACGGGCUCCGUACGACGCGAGGGCAACUUUCAGCGAAGAAAAUCUGCAAACUGCAGUUUUUCUACUUGCUGUACCGGUACAGCCAUUAAGGUGUACCGGUACACUGCACUGGGGCGCGCGCGGGUUGCUCUCAGGUUGGCUGCCGUACCGGUACGCGAUCCCGUGUACCGGUACACCAGGGUAGGUAGAGGGCUAAAUGAGUAAUUUUCUCUCUCCCUCGUUUGUAUCGCCUCCCUUCUCUUCUUAUGGUGUCCGAACAGAGAGAGAGGGAGAGUUUUACCUGUUCUUCUUCUCUCUCUCUCUCGGUUGAAGGUAGGGAAGAAGCCGGUUGGGGAGUUCGUCGCCGACGUCGCGCCGCGAGCCGUUCGAGUGCGCGUGUGACCGGGGCGCUGCGAGGAGGCCGGGCGAGGGCGUGUCUUCGACGUUACUGUCGCCGCGUCGUAGUUCCUCACUGUGGAGAUUUCCUGCGUCGACUGUUAGUAUUUCGGCUCGUUCUCCGUGUAGGAGCGUCGGAUCGCGACGAAACUUGGUUCAUUGGAUUCUAGACUGCGAGAGGAUUCCACAGAGCCCUCAUUUGCAAUUUUUGGACAAGCUCGGCGACCGGUCUAGGUGGUCCCUGAGGAAUCCGGCAGCAUCGCGGGUGGCCGAGGCUGAGUUCGCUGCCAGGAAAUUGCACUUGAGAGCCGCAGGUACAGGCUGCUGCUUCCUCUGCUGAGCAGGAUCGUGGCAAGGGCGUCGCGAGCUAGAGCCCUACCAGACUGAUCGAGUUAGAGGCGUCCUCCCCUUACAGCAGGUAGUGAUUUUUCUUUUGGAGCUUUUGUACAUAGCAGUUGAACUCGCCAGUGCGAGUGGUUUUGUA
Long non-coding RNA from Ananas comosus (pineapple), 932 nucleotides. RefSeq lists it as uncharacterized. Lineage: Eukaryota; Viridiplantae; Streptophyta; Magnoliopsida; Poales; Bromeliaceae. The transcript has 4 exons. The record is from RefSeq and is a predicted model, not a curated record.